RNAcentral lists this ribosomal RNA (458 nucleotides) under Neisseria arctica. RNAcentral's name for it is "bacterial SSU rRNA". It matches the Rfam family "Bacterial small subunit ribosomal RNA", at positions 22 to 477 of the family's 1533-position model. The record is from RNAcentral. Lineage: Bacteria; Pseudomonadati; Pseudomonadota; Betaproteobacteria; Neisseriales; Neisseriaceae.
GCUCAGAUUGAACGCUGGCGGCAUGCUUUACACAUGCAAGUCGAACGGCAGCACGAAAGAGCUUGCUCUUUUGGUGGCGAGUGGCGAACGGGUGAGUAAUACAUUGGAACGUACCGAGUAAUGGGGGAUAACUGUCCGAAAGGAUGGCUAAUACCGCAUACGCUCUGAGGAGGAAAGCGGGGGACCUUCGGGCCUCGCGUUAUUCGAGCGGCCAAUGUCUGAUUAGCUAGUUGGUGGGGUAAAGGCCUACCAAGGCGACGAUCAGUAGUGGGUCUGAGAGGAUGAUCCGCCACACUGGGACUGAGACACGGCCCAGACUCCUACGGGAGGCAGCAGUGGGGAAUUUUGGACAAUGGGCGAAAGCCUGAUCCAGCCAUGCCGCGUGUCUGAAGAAGGCCUUCGGGUUGUAAAGGACUUUUGUCAGGGAAGAAAGGGUUUGGGUUAAUACCCUGAGCUUA